RNAcentral lists this ribosomal RNA (389 nucleotides) under uncultured bacterium. RNAcentral describes it as "bacterial SSU rRNA". It matches the Rfam family "Bacterial small subunit ribosomal RNA", at positions 29 to 423 of the family's 1533-position model. The record is from RNAcentral.
AUUGAACGCUGGCGGCAUGCUUUACACAUGCAAGUCGAACGGUAACAGGCCUUCGGGUGCUGACGAGUGGCGAACGGGUGAGUAAUGCAUCGGAACGUGCCCAAUCGUGGGGGAUAACGUAGCGAAAGUUACGCUAAUACCGCAUAAGCCCUGAGGGGGAAAGCAGGGGAUCGCAAGACCUUGCGCGAAUGGAGCGGCCGAUGUCAGAUUAGCUAGUUGGUGGGGUAAAGGCCUACCAAGGCGACGAUCUGUAGCGGGUCUGAGAGGAUGAUCCGCCACACUGGGACUGAGACACGGCCCAGACUCCUACGGGAGGCAGCAGUGGGGAAUUUUGGACAAUGGGCGCAAGCCUGAUCCAGCCAUGCCGCGUGAGUGAAGAAGGCCUCGGU